Long non-coding RNA from Lemur catta (Ring-tailed lemur), 101 nucleotides. RefSeq lists it as uncharacterized. The record is from RefSeq and is a predicted model, not a curated record. The transcript has 3 exons. NCBI's taxonomy places the organism in Eukaryota, Metazoa, Chordata, Mammalia, Primates, Lemuridae.
GCCUCAGCCUCCCGAGUAGCUGGGACUACAGAAAUCUGACUUUCACAAGAGAACACUGGUUCCACCGAGGCUUUUGGGGAUUGGAAUGUAGUAGGCCCCUG